UUGAUGGCAACAAGAGGCUGUUGCCAUCAUUGGAACCUGGUGCUGGCCCGUUGACCUUGCAGAUUAAGUAAUGCUCAGGGGACAGAGUAUAUGAACCUUGCAAAUCCACAUAGGGAAGCAGAGUCAGACUCUGCAUCAGAAAGAGAUGCAGCUGCCAGCUCAGGUGCCUGAACCCAGAGCAGGACUGAAACAAAGGAGAAGCCCAGAUGAGUUCUUGUUUUCCUUCUAAAUAACUUGAGGUGACACAUCCCUGCUCAGCGUUACUGGCUGCGUAUUGUCAGUCUGGAGUACUGGCGCUCCAUCUGUGAGCUCCGGCUAGCAGCAGAUGGAGUGAUUUCUCAUGUAGUGUUACAGUAAUGACCAAUGUGACACAGAAGGAAAAUUCUGUGACAAUAUGGAGGAGGGUCUUGUGUCAGCCGUAGCAGAACCACCUUGACUCACUGAGUGCCACUGCUGAGUGUCUUUGUGUGGUUAGGAUGGAGAGGAUCCUGGCUGUUUUCAGAACUCAAACUGUGGAACGAGAGAGCAUGAAAAAACAAGCUAAUUAGAGAGAAAUCAGGAGAAAAGAAGCAGGGAGAAAAGAGAAGACAGUCUGAGCAUUAAUGAGACUGAUUUGGAAAGAGGAUGUGACAAGCUCUUCAAAAGCAUUAUUGUCAAAUGUGUCACUGUUUCAUAGACGGCUACUGCUACCUUUGAGCUUCACGCUGAUAGUUAAUGAUUUGAAACUAUAAAAAGAUUGAAAAGGAAAGAUCUCAGAGCAAUGUUGCCAAGCCAAGCAGAUGUGAACAAUGUCAGCCUGCUGUGAGGAGGAGAAAGCCCACCCUGUGACAUAAGCUCCCGAAGCCAUGUAGAAAACAGAAUUUCUUCAGACCACCCCACGAUUUCUCCAACAUGUCUCCAGCAUGAGCGCUCUCAUCACAACUUUUUGUGGCAUCUACAAGAUUUGUGCCAGCACUCACUGAGAUGGUCUGCAGUCUCCUGGUUAGUAGGUUGCCGAAGCCUGAGCUUGCAUCUCCUUUCCUUUCCCAGCGCCACUUGUGCAAGGUUUCCUUCAGGAAGAUCACAAUUACUUCAACCUGAGGGCUUCUCUUUUCCAGGAUGAAUAAACCCAAUUCUCUGAGCCUUUCCUCCUAGGAAAGGUGUUCCGUCCCUCUGGUCAUGUUGGUGGACUCCUCUGGACUUGCUCCAACAAGUCCACACCCUCCCUGUGCUGGGGGUCCUCGAGCUGGAUGCAGCCCUGCAAGUGCUGCAGGUGUAGAGGAGCAGAAUCCCAUCCCUUGUCCUGAUGGCCAUGCUGCUUUGAAUGCAGCCAAGACUGUGACUGGCUUGUGGGGUUAUUGCUGGCACCAGAGCCAGGGAGGGGAGAGCAAACCAAGCAGUUUUUUUUUUUACCUGCAGUUCCCCAGCAUAUUAUUGAAAUAUCCUUCUCUGAAAGUGAAUGCUCUUUGCUAGUAUAAUUACCAGAACACUUCUUCAUUUAUCUGUGAUUAUAGGAAACUGAAGUAUUAUCUGGGGAACAAAAUACUCUGUAACUCAAAAAGGAUAUAUAGCAGCUCUCUUUUUAAAGAUGUAUGAAAAUAAAAUGCUGGGCAAUGUCUGUAUGGUUGCAGUCCUGCUCCAAAGGUAGAAGACCAGGAGAUUUUUACCCGGGCAAGCCCAAGGGCACCAAUGAGAUCAUUCUUUAAACAGAAGAAUAUUUUUGUUAUUGAGCCUUCCCAGUCUGACAGUUUUUUUUGGCUGCCUCUGUGGUGACUGUUAAGGGUAUGGGAUGCUGCUGGUCUCUGUCUUCCCAGUACCUGGUGCUGCAACAGCCACCAAUCCCCCCAUCCCACACACACACACAUUCAGAGGGGCUGUUUGCACUGCCCUCAGCACUACAUCCACUCUACCAUGUCAGGCUGCACUCUCCUCUGGGGACACAAGAGCAAAUCUCCACCUUUGUGCCAGGUUGUGAAAGCAAUUGUAAAUUCAAUGUUAAAUGAAAAAAAAAAAAGCGUUGCCUAAGUGCAUACUGAGAUCAAUAAAAUAUGCAAGAAUGGACUCCUGCUGUUCAGGGCUGCAGCCAUCUCUAACCUAGAGCAGGGAGUCCUGGAGGAGUACACUGGGGCUGCUCUAAGUGACAGCUGAUAGGAAUCCUACAUUAAUGCAACAGGUAGGGCUCAUAUGUUUGCACCCAGAGGUCUCAUGCUCAGGUGCCAGCUAUGAGGGUACUCUCAGGAUGCCUCUGUCUGAAAAGGUAGUGAUAAAGGAAAGAAACAGUGAUAAAGAAAAUUCUAGCAAUUAUGGUUUUGUGCCUGGGUUAAAUCCUUCCAGCAAUAGGUCAUUUCUUGUUUUGCAGAAGAG
This is a non-coding RNA of Cyanistes caeruleus (blue tit), 2343 nucleotides long. NCBI's taxonomy places the organism in Eukaryota, Metazoa, Chordata, Aves, Passeriformes, Paridae. The record is from RefSeq and is a predicted model, not a curated record.